AACGAACGCUGGCGGCAGGCCUAACACAUGCAAGUCGAGCGAGGACUUCGGUCCUAGCGGCGGACGGGUGAGUAACGCGUGGGAACGUGCCCUUUGCUUCGGAAUAGCCCUGGGAAACUGGGAGUAAUACCGGAUGAGCCCUUUGGGGGAAAGAUUUAUCGGCGAAGGAUCGGCCCGCGUUGGAUUAGGUAGUUGGUGGGGUAAUGGCCUACCAAGCCGACGAUCCAUAGCUGGUUUCAGAGGAUGAUCAGCCACACUGGGACUGAGACACGGCCCAGACUCCUACAGGAGGCAGGAGUGGGGAAUCUUAGACAAUGGGGGAAACCCUGAUCUAGCCAUGCCGCGUGAGCGAUGAAGGCCUUAGGGUUGUAAAGCUCUUUCAGCUGGGAAGAUAAUGACGGUACCAGCAGAAGAAGCCCCGGCUAACUCCGUG
RNAcentral lists this ribosomal RNA (433 nucleotides) under uncultured bacterium. RNAcentral's name for it is "partial 16S ribosomal RNA". It matches the Rfam family "Bacterial small subunit ribosomal RNA", at positions 29 to 507 of the family's 1533-position model. The record is from RNAcentral.